RNAcentral lists this ribosomal RNA (512 nucleotides) under Oreina speciosa. Its description in RNAcentral is "partial 16S ribosomal RNA". It matches the Rfam family "Bacterial large subunit ribosomal RNA", at positions 1830 to 2604 of the family's 2925-position model. The record is from RNAcentral. Lineage: Eukaryota; Metazoa; Arthropoda; Insecta; Coleoptera; Chrysomelidae.
UCCUUUUGUAGAUAAUUUAAGGUCUAGCCUGCCCACUGAAAUUUUAAAUGGCCGUGGUAUUUUGACCGUGCUAAGGUAGCAUAAUCAUUAGUUUUUUAAUUAAAAACUGGAAUGAAAGGUUGGAUGAGAAAAUAGCUGUCUCUAUUAAAUGUAAUUAGAAUUUUAUUUUUAAGUUAAAAAGCUUAAUUAUUAUUAAAAGACGAGAAGACCCUAUAGAGUUUGAUUGUUUAAUAAAAAUUAUAUUUUAGUAUUAAUUUAUUUAUUUUAUUAUAUAAUUUAAUUGGGGUGAUUGAAAAAUUUAAUUAACUUUUUUUAUUUAAGAACAUUAAUUUAUGAAUAAAUGAUCCAAUAUUUUUGAUUAUAAGAUAAAAUUACCUUAGGGAUAACAGCGUAAUUUUUUUAGAAAGUUCGUAUUAAAAAAAAAGAUUGCGACCUCGAUGUUGGAUUAAAAUAAAUUUUUGGUGUAGAAGCUAAAAUAUUAGGUCUGUUCGACCUUUAAAAUUUUACAUGAU